AUUAAAGGUGGGGAUCCUUCGGGCCCUGCUGCUUGGAGAGGAGCUCGCGUCCCAUCAGCUUGUUGGUAGGGUAACGGCCUACCAAGGCAUACGGGUAGCCGGCCUGAGAGGGUGACCGGCCACACUGGGACUGAGACACUGCCCAGACUCCUACGGGAGGCUGCAGUCGAGGAUCAUUCGCAAUGCGCGAAAGCGUGACGAUGCGACGCUGCGUGGAGGAUGACGGCCCUAGGGUUGUAAACUCCUGUCAUGAGGGAACAGCCGGCAAAGGGAUAAUACCCCUUCGCUCCGAUGGUACCUCAAGAGGAAGCCACGGCUAACUCUGUGCCAGCAGCCGCGGUAAUACAGAGGUGGCGAGCGUUGUUCGGAUUUACUGGGCGUAAAGGGUGCGUAGGUGGUUUCGUAUGUCGGAUGUGAAAGCCCGGGGCUCAACCCCGGAACUGCAUUCGAAACUGCGGGACUAGAGUACAGGAUGGGAGAGCGGAAUUCUUGGUGUAGCGGUGAAAUGCGUUGAGAUCAAGAAGAACACCGGCGGCGAAGGCGGCUCUCUGGAAUGUUACUGACACUCAUGCACGAAAGCUGGGGUAGCAAACAGGAUUAGAUACCCUGGUAGUCCCAGCUGUAAACUGUGUGCACUUGGUGUUGGCGGUAUUGACCCCGCCAGUGCCGGAGUUAACGCGUUAAGUGCACCGCCUGAGGAGUACGAUCGCAAGGUUAAAACUCAAAGAAAUUGACGGGGGCCCGCACAAGCGGAGGAGCGUGUGGCUUAAUUCGAUGCAACGCGAAGAACCUUACCUGGGUUUGACAUCGGAGAGGCUUGCCUCUAGCGCGUGAAAGCGCGUUAACCAGACAGGUGCUGCAUGGCUGUCGUCAGUUCGUGCCGUGAGGUGUUGGGUUAAGUCCCGCAACGAACGCAACCCUUAUGUUUAGUUGCCACCCCCGAGCAAUCGGGGCGCACUCUAGACAGACUGCCCGUACAAGCGGGAGGAAGGUGGGGAUGACGUCAAGUCCGUAUGGCCCUUACACCCAGGGCUGCACACGUGCUACAAUGGUCGGUACAGAGGGAUGCUACACCGCGAGGUUACGCAAAUCCC
RNAcentral lists this ribosomal RNA (1094 nucleotides) under uncultured organism. RNAcentral's name for it is "bacterial SSU rRNA". It matches the Rfam family "Bacterial small subunit ribosomal RNA", at positions 200 to 1275 of the family's 1533-position model. The record is from RNAcentral.